Molecule: ribosomal RNA, 506 nt
Filed under: Lactobacillus delbrueckii subsp. lactis
Lineage: Bacteria; Bacillati; Bacillota; Bacilli; Lactobacillales; Lactobacillaceae
Description: bacterial SSU rRNA
Rfam family: Bacterial small subunit ribosomal RNA
Source: RNAcentral
UGGCUCAGGACGAACGCUGGCGGCGUGCCUAAUACAUGCAAGUUGAGCGCUGAAGGUUGGUACUUGUACCAACUGGAUGAGCAGCGAACGGGUGAGUAACGCGUGGGGAAUCUGCCUUUGAGCGGGGGACAACAUUUGGAAACGAAUGCUAAUACCGCAUAAAAACUUUAAACACAAGUUUUAAGUUUGAAAGAUGCAAUUGCAUCACUCAAAGAUGAUCCCGCGUUGUAUUAGCUAGUUGGUGAGGUAAAGGCUCACCAAGGCGAUGAUACAUAGCCGACCUGAGAGGGUGAUCGGCCACAUUGGGACUGAGACACGGCCCAAACUCCUACGGGAGGCAGCAGUAGGGAAUCUUCGGCAAUGGACGAAAGUCUGACCGAGCAACGCCGCGUGAGUGAAGAAGGUUUUCGGAUCGUAAAACUCUGUUGGUAGAGAAGAACGUUGGUGAGAGUGGAAAGCUCAUCAAGUGACGGUAACUACCCAGAAAGGGACGGCUAACUACGUGC